AGCGAACGCUGGCGGCGUGCUUAACACAUGCAAGUCGAACGUGAAAUGUAGCAAUACAGAGUAAAGUGGCGUACGGGUGAGUAACACGUGGGUAAUCUACCAAAGAGCCUGGAAUAACCGACCGAAAGGUUGGCUAAUACUGGAUAGUUCAAAUGAAAUAUAAUGUUUCGGUUGGGAAAGGGAGCGAGCAAUCGCCUUCACUUUUUGAUGAGCCCGCGUCUGAUUAGCUAGUUGGUAGGGUAAUGGCCUACCAAGGCGACGAUCAGUAGCUGGUCUAAGAGGAUGAUCAGCCACACGGGAACUGAGACACGGUCCAGACUCCUACGGGAGGCAGCAGUGGGGAAUCUUGCGCAAUGGACGAAAGUCUGACGCAGCCACGCCGCGUGAGUGAAGAAGGCCUUCGGGUUGUAAAGCUCUGUCGGAAGGGACAAAAACGUUUAAGGUUAAUAGCCUUAGAUCUUGAUGGUACCUUCAAAGGAAGCACCGGCUAACUUCGUGCCAGCCGCCGCAGUAA
Molecule: ribosomal RNA, 514 nt
Filed under: uncultured bacterium
Lineage: Bacteria
Description: partial 16S ribosomal RNA
Rfam family: Bacterial small subunit ribosomal RNA
Source: RNAcentral